RNAcentral lists this ribosomal RNA (224 nucleotides) under uncultured bacterium. Its description in RNAcentral is "partial 16S ribosomal RNA". It matches the Rfam family "Bacterial small subunit ribosomal RNA", at positions 328 to 539 of the family's 1533-position model. The record is from RNAcentral.
ACGCUCGACACCUACUGGAGGCAGCAGUAGGGAAUUUUCGGCAAUGGGGGGAACCCUGACCGAGCAACGCCGCGUGAAGGAAGAAGGAAUUCGUUCUGUAAACUUCUGUUAUAAAGGAAGAACGGCGGAUAUAGGGAAUGAUAUCCGAGUGACGGUACUUUAUGAGAAAGCCACGGCUAACUACGUGCCUAGCAGCCGCGGUAAUCUGAGCGGGCUGGCAAGGC